This 481-nucleotide ribosomal RNA is filed under the name uncultured bacterium. Its description in RNAcentral is "partial 16S ribosomal RNA". It matches the Rfam family "Bacterial small subunit ribosomal RNA", at positions 28 to 523 of the family's 1533-position model. The record is from RNAcentral.
GACGAACGCUGGCGGCGUGCUUAACACAUGCAAGUUGAGCGGAAAGGCCACUUCGGUGGUACUCGAGCGGCGAACGGGUGAGUAACACGUGAGUAAUCUGCCCCUGGCUUUGGGAUAGCCACCGGAAACGGUGAUUAAUACCGGAUACGACCACUUCUCGCAUGGGAUGGUGGUGGAAAGUUUUUUCGGCCAGGGAUGUGCCCGCGGCCUAUCAGCUUGAUGGUGAGGUAAUGGCUCACCAUGGCUUCGACGGGUAGCCGGCCUGAGAGGGUGACCGGUCACACUGGGACUGAGACACGGCCCAGACUCCUACGGGAGGCAGCAGUGGGGAAUAUUGGACAAUGGGCGGAAGCCUGAUCCAGCAACGCCGCGUGAGGGAUGACGGCCUUCGGGUUGUAAACCUCUUUCAGCAGGGACGAAGCGCAAGUGACGGUACCUGCAGAAGAAGCACCGGCCAACUACGUGCCAGCAGCCGCGGUAA